RNAcentral lists this ribosomal RNA (429 nucleotides) under Actinomycetes bacterium. RNAcentral's name for it is "Actinobacteria bacterium partial 16S ribosomal RNA". It matches the Rfam family "Bacterial small subunit ribosomal RNA", at positions 355 to 776 of the family's 1533-position model. The record is from RNAcentral. Lineage: Bacteria; Bacillati; Actinomycetota; Actinomycetes.
UAGGGAAUCUUCCGCAAUGGGCGAAAGCCUGACGGAGCAACGCCGCGUGAGUGAUGAAGGUCUUCGGAUCGUAAAACUCUGUUAUUAGGGAAGAACAAAUGUGUAAGUAACUAUGCACGUCUUGACGGUACCUAAUCAGAAAGCCACGGCUAACUACGUGCCAGCAGCCGCGGUAAUACGAAGGGGGCUAGCGUUGUUCGGAUUUACUGGGCGUAAAGCGCACGUAGGCGGACUUUUAAGUCAGGGGUGAAAUCCCGGGGCUCAACCCCGGAACUGCCUUUGAUACUGGAAGUCUUGAGUAUGGUAGAGGUGAGUGGAAUUCCGAGUGUAGAGGUGAAAUUCGUAGAUAUUCGGAGGAACACCAGUGGCGAAGGCGGCUCACUGGACCAUUACUGACGCUGAGGUGCGAAAGCGUGGGGAGCAAACAGG